GGAUCAAUUGAUUGGUCAUGCCUACGGUAUGUACUAGUCAUAUUGGUUCUCACCUUCUAAUGAACCUUAAUGUCAUUCACUUGAUGUUUUGGGGAAUUAGGACUGUUACCUUGAAAAAAUUAGAGUGUUUAAAACAGGCGUUUGCUUGAAUACAUUAGCAUGGAAUAACGGAAUAGGACU
RNAcentral lists this ribosomal RNA (180 nucleotides) under uncultured Glomeromycotina. RNAcentral's name for it is "partial small subunit ribosomal RNA". It matches the Rfam family "Eukaryotic small subunit ribosomal RNA", at positions 653 to 829 of the family's 1831-position model. The record is from RNAcentral. Lineage: Eukaryota; Fungi; Glomeromycota.